GAGCGGAUGACGGGAGCUUGCUCCUUGAUUCAGCGGCGGACGGGUGAGUAAUGCCUAGGAAUCUGCCUGGUAGUGGGGGACAACGUUUCGAAAGGAACGCUAAUACCGCAUACGUCCUACGGGAGAAAGCAGGGGACCUUCGGGCCUUGCGCUAUCAGAUGAGCCUAGGUCGGAUUGGCUAGUUGGUGGGGUAAUGGCUCACCAAGGCGACGAUCCGUAACUGGUCUGAGAGGAUGAUCAGUCACACUGGAACUGAGACACGGUCCAGACUCCUACGGGAGGCAGCAGUGGGGAAUAUUGGACAAUGUCCGAAAGCCUGAUCCAGCCAUGCCGCGUGUGUGAAGAAGGUCUUCGGAUUGUAAAGCACUUUAAGUUGGGAGGAAGGGCAGUAAGCUAAUACCCUGCUGUUUUGACGUUACCGACAGAAUAAGCACCGGCUAACUCUGUG
RNAcentral lists this ribosomal RNA (448 nucleotides) under uncultured bacterium. RNAcentral describes it as "bacterial SSU rRNA". It matches the Rfam family "Bacterial small subunit ribosomal RNA", at positions 64 to 507 of the family's 1533-position model. The record is from RNAcentral.